Molecule: ribosomal RNA, 381 nt
Filed under: uncultured bacterium
Lineage: Bacteria
Description: bacterial SSU rRNA
Rfam family: Bacterial small subunit ribosomal RNA
Source: RNAcentral
AUUGAACGCUGGCGGCGUGCCUAACACAUGCAAGUCGAGCGGCAGCGGGCCCGCAAGGGUGCCGGCGAGCGGCGGACGGGUGAGCAAUACAUAGGAAUCUGCCUUAGAGCGGGGGAUAGCCAGGGGAAACCCUGAUUAAUACCGCAUGAUGUCGAGAGACCAAAGUGGGGGAUCGUAAGACCUCACACUCUAAGAUGAGCCUAUGUCGGAUUAGCUAGUGGCGGGGUAACGGCCCACCAAGGCGACGAUCCGUAGCUGGUCUGAGAGGACGAUCAGCCACACCGGAACUGAGACACGGUCCGGACUCCUACGGGAGGCAGCAGUGGGGAAUAUUGGACAAUGGGCGAAAGCCUGAUCCAGCGACGCCGCGUGGGUGAAGAA